This 348-nucleotide unclassified non-coding RNA is filed under the name soil metagenome. Its description in RNAcentral is "partial contains 5.8S ribosomal RNA, internal transcribed spacer 2, and large subunit ribosomal RNA". The stretch from base 1 to 120 matches the Rfam family "5.8S ribosomal RNA", at positions 35 to 154 of the family's 154-position model. The record is from RNAcentral.
GAUGAAGAACGCAGUGAAAUGCGAUACGUAAUGUGAAUUGCAGAAUUCAGUGAAUCAUCGAAUCUUUGAACGCACAUUGCGCCCGCCAGUAUUCUGGCGGGCAUGCCUGUCUGAGCGUCAUUUCAACCCUCAUGCCCCUAGGGCGUGGUGUUGGGGAUCGGCCAAAGCCCGCGAGGGACGGCCGGCCCCUAAAUCUAGUGGCGGACCCGUCGUGGCCUCCUCUGCGAAGUAGUGAUAUUCCGCAUCGGAGAGCGAUGAGCCCCUGCCGUUAAACCCCCAACUUUCCAAGGUUGACCUCAGAUCAGGUAGGAAUACCCGCUGAACUUAAGCAUAUCAAUAAGCGGAGGA